RNAcentral lists this transfer RNA (57 nucleotides) under Hyalella kochi. RNAcentral's name for it is "tRNA-Arg". RNAcentral also lists the same sequence under 1 other name. The record is from RNAcentral. Lineage: Eukaryota; Metazoa; Arthropoda; Malacostraca; Amphipoda; Hyalellidae.
AAAACGAAAGUAGAUUACAUUCAGUUUCGACCUGAAAAAAGGGACAACCUCGUUUUA